This 2784-nucleotide long non-coding RNA is filed under the name Homo sapiens (human). Its description in RNAcentral is "non-protein coding lnc-KLHL32-4:31". Lineage: Eukaryota; Metazoa; Chordata; Mammalia; Primates; Hominidae. The record is from RNAcentral.
AUUCUCCUUUCCCUCCUCUCCAUCUCCCUAUUGCAUUGUGUCUGACUGAUUUUCAGAGCACCUUCGCUGUUUCCCCCUUCUCGUUCCCUUCUCAUAAAAUAUCUAGACAGGAAGGAGGUGGCUGCAGAGGCUGAACAAUCUCAUAUUCUGCCUGCAAUGUCAUCGUUUCUUUCCCCCAUUUUAGGGGGCUGAAGUUGCCCAGCAAGGGAUGCAGAGGAGCUGGAAAAGAAGGGGGGAGCUCUCCAGAGGCAGCUGCGGUCAGGGGCAGGGACUGCCGCCAGAUGUGCCUGCCUUUCUGGGCUUUGAUGAGAAAGGGGCAGCAGGAGGAAAUAUUGGGAGACAAAAGCCCCGGUUUAAAUGAUCAUUUUCUUUAUUUAACAUGGCAGCAGACACUCUCUGCGUAGGAUCAUCAUGCCGAGCAUAAACUGGACUUUCCCACUUGCCUGGCAGGAGUCACACAGAUCCCUGCGUGCUAAAUGAACAUCUGAGGUUUGAGAUGGGGCCCAAGAUGCUUUUCUGACAAGUUUCCUGGUGAUGCAAUGUUGCUGUUGGGGAAACCUCCAUUUGACCCUUGAAUCCUGACUAUUGGAGAAACAGCACCAUAUUUUGGAUACUGAUUCAGACCAUAUACAGCCUUCUGGAGAAUCUUGCCCCAGUCCUGAAAGGUAUUUCUAUUCAUCUAGUUGGUGCUAUAACUGAGUCUUCAAAAGACAAUUCCACUGUUCUAUCAAGAAAGCUGCUUCAGGAUGGUGGGAAAUAUGGUUUUGGUAUCAGGAUGAUGCUGGCAUCAUAAAAUGAGUAUUUUUCUUCAGACUUCAGACUGCUGUGCUGGAAGCAAGAAUUUCAAGCAUUGGAUCUUAGCUUGCUGGGCUCCAUAGGGGUGGGAUCCACUGAGCUAGACCACUUGGCUCCCUGGCUUCAGCCCCCUUCCAGAUUCAAACUAAUGGUGUCUCACCAACACAUGGCAUGAGAACACCUGUAGCAAUCUGUUUGACAGUCAUUCACGAGCAACUUAGAAUUGCAAGAAAGAUGUCCUUGGCGUGUACACCCUGUGGAAUCUGGUUCAUCUUCAAUCUGUCAGAAGGCAUCAGAGGUGGUUUUGACUCCUUAUGUCUUGGACCUGUGCACAAAAAGUGUAAAAUGGAUGGAACAUCAGACAGCUCAUUAUAGAGACAAGUAAGCUCCAGUUCCAAAGUUGGUUGACAGAACAAGUCAUGACCUUGUGUGGAGGAAAAUGAGAUCCCGAGUGAAGUCUACAAUGUCAUUGACUCUGAAGAAGGACUCAGAGACCCAUUGGUGUUUAAUGACCCUUACUGGCCUAUGCAAUGGAAACUGAUCUUGAGUGUGCCUUAAAAUUCCAUUUCAUGGAGAACUGUGCGUGGUUGAAUUUUGAUUGAUUACUCAAUUAACUGAUGUAUUGGUAGAGUGAUUAAGAAAGAAGACUUUGGGAUCAGACCAACCUGGUUUUGAAUUCAAGCUCAGCAACUUACUAGGUAAGGAGGAGAAAAGAAAGAAGGAAAAAUUGGAAAGAUAAAUGGGGUCUUUCCAGUGAAGCUGCAGUUAUGGCAUUAACCACCCAGUUGUUACCUACUUCUAGAUGAAAGCUCAAUUUUCCUACAUAAUUAAGAGUUUGGAAUUCGGGCAAUAUCAAGAACCACAUCUGUCCUGAAAUCAAUUAUCUCUGUUUGAAACACAAGAAAUAAGAAGACCAUUUUGAGAAGAACAGAGAGUAGCCUUAAGAAAAUCCCUGUCGCAAGCACUCUGGGAUUUGGACUCAAAUGCUAAUUAUACAGAACCACUUGGGUGCCCAGCUGCUGUCCAUUCUCUACACUUAUCCCACCUGAUGGAAGGCUGUUAAGAAAAACAUCACUGCAAUGCCUAAUAAACAGACAUGGGUCCCAGACCCAAUAAGAGUGAAACCAUCCCCCUAUUUAAAUGAAAUUAUGGCUGAUGAGAAAGACAAAUUAAUUUCUCUGUCCCUAGUAUUACACAAAACUUUGGAUGCUGCCAUUGUUACAAUUUUAUUUUCCCCAGGAGCUCAGAGUCCCACCUUCAUUCUUUUUGUUUAAUGCUUAAGCUUGCCUGUCCACCUAUGGAAGACUAGAAUGAGCAAAGACCAUGUAUUCAAUGAUCUGUAAAUCUAACAGGAAACAAUAUAAUAAAUAUAUUGUGUUUGCUAACCAAAUCUGUGAAUGAUUAGAUCGACUGGUUAAUGAUUAGAUGGAUUAACACAUCAUUUCUAUUUUCUCUCUCCUCCCCUACUUCUUGUUUUAAUGAUACCUUCCAAGUUUUAUUUCUCCAAGCCUAACCCCUUACAUAAUACAAGAGGACAACAGUUUGCAAAAUAAAUAUCUGUUGGCCCUAACUGGUAAAUACUGAAAUAGAUUUCAAGUAAUGUGAGUGUUUUUGAAACCACCUAAAUCUGUAAGCCACCCUGCAAGGAACAAGGGUAGCAAAGUGAAUAAGCCAGACAUGUAAAAAUAAAGAUGACAAAAUGGAAGGCAAUUAAUGCCUGUAAUGGAGGUGGGGAAGGGGGGAAUGACAAGUUAAUAAGAAAUUUAUUUUUAAAUGCUAUCAUCUGCCAUAAAAUAUCCAUGCUUAUUUUAGAAAAUAUGUAAAAUGUUUAAGAAUUAAACAUCUUUAAAAAAAUCACAUGAACUCAUCACCCUGCAACAAAACACACACAGAUGAGUGCACACACUUAAACACACAUUAAUUUUCAAUUAGUAUAUAAAGUUAAUAUCCUGCUAAGUACAAGAUACUAUAUCAUGAGCACUUUGUCUC